RNAcentral lists this ribosomal RNA (2806 nucleotides) under Salmonella enterica subsp. enterica serovar Bareilly str. CFSAN000214. RNAcentral describes it as "bacterial LSU rRNA". It matches the Rfam family "Bacterial large subunit ribosomal RNA". Lineage: Bacteria; Pseudomonadati; Pseudomonadota; Gammaproteobacteria; Enterobacterales; Enterobacteriaceae. The record is from RNAcentral.
GGGUUGUGAGGUUAAGCGACUAAGCGUACACGGUGGAUGCCCUGGCAGUCAGAGGCGAUGAAGGGCGUGCUAAUCUGCGAUAAGCGCCGGUAAGGUGAUAUGAACCGUUAUAACCGGCGAUACCCGAAUGGGGAAACCCAGUGUGAUUCGUCACACUAUCAUUAACUGAAUCCAUAGGUUAAUGAGGCGAACCGGGGGAACUGAAACAUCUAAGUACCCCGAGGAAAAGAAAUCAACCGAGAUUCCCCCAGUAGCGGCGAGCGAACGGGGAGGAGCCCAGAGCCUGAAUCAGCAUGUGUGUUAGUGGAAGCGUCUGGAAAGGCGCGCGAUACAGGGUGACAGCCCCGUACACAAAAGCGCAUGUGCUGUGAGCUCGAUGAGUAGGGCGGGACACGUGGUAUCCUGUCUGAAUAUGGGGGGACCAUCCUCCAAGGCUAAAUACUCCUGACUGACCGAUAGUGAACCAGUACCGUGAGGGAAAGGCGAAAAGAACCCCGGCGAGGGGAGUGAAAAAGAACCUGAAACCGUGUACGUACAAGCAGUGGGAGCACCCUUUUGGGUGUGACUGCGUACCUUUUGUAUAAUGGGUCAGCGACUUAUAUUCUGUAGCAAGGUUAACCGUAUAGGGGAGCCGGAGGGAAACCGAGUCUUAACCGGGCGUUAAGUUGCAGGGUAUAGACCCGAAACCCGGUGAUCUAGCCAUGGGCAGGUUGAAGGUUGGGUAACACUAACUGGAGGACCGAACCGACUAAUGUUGAAAAAUUAGCGGAUGACCUGUGGCUGGGGGUGAAAGGCCAAUCAAACCGGGAGAUAGCUGGUUCUCCCCGAAAGCUAUUUAGGUAGCGCCUCGUGAAUUCAUCUCCGGGGGUAGAGCACUGUUUCGGCUAGGGGGCCAUCCCGGCUUACCAACCCGAUGCAAACUGCGAAUACCGGAGAAUGUUAUCACGGGAGACACACGGCGGGUGCUAACGUCCGUCGUGAAGAGGGAAACAACCCAGACCGCCAGCUAAGGUCCCAAAGUCAUGGUUAAGUGGGAAACGAUGUGGGAAGGCCCAGACAGCCAGGAUGUUGGCUUAGAAGCAGCCAUCAUUUAAAGAAAGCGUAAUAGCUCACUGGUCGAGUCGGCCUGCGCGGAAGAUGUAACGGGGCUAAACCAUGCACCGAAGCUGCGGCAGCGACGUUUAUGUGUUGUUGGGUAGGGGAGCGUUCUGUAAGCCUGCGAAGGUGGCCUGUGAGGGUUGCUGGAGGUAUCAGAAGUGCGAAUGCUGACAUAAGUAACGAUAAAGCGGGUGAAAAGCCCGCUCGCCGGAAGACCAAGGGUUCCUGUCCAACGUUAAUCGGGGCAGGGUGAGUCGACCCCUAAGGCGAGGCCGAAAGGCGUAGUCGAUGGGAAACGGGUUAAUAUUCCCGUACUUGGUGUUACUGCGAAGGGGGGACGGAGAAGGCUAUGUUGGCCGGGCGACGGUUGUCCCGGUUUAAGCGUGUAGGCUGGUUUUCCAGGCAAAUCCGGAAAAUCAAGGCUGAGGCGUGACGACGAGGCACUACGGUGCUGAAGCAACAAAUGCCCUGCUUCCAGGAAAAGCCUCUAAGCAUCAGGUAACAUCAAAUCGUACCCCAAACCGACACAGGUGGUCAGGUAGAGAAUACCAAGGCGCUUGAGAGAACUCGGGUGAAGGAACUAGGCAAAAUGGUGCCGUAACUUCGGGAGAAGGCACGCUGACACGUAGGUGAAGUGAUUUACUCAUGGAGCUGAAGUCAGUCGAAGAUACCAGCUGGCUGCAACUGUUUAUUAAAAACACAGCACUGUGCAAACACGAAAGUGGACGUAUACGGUGUGACGCCUGCCCGGUGCCGGAAGGUUAAUUGAUGGGGUCAGCGCAAGCGAAGCUCCUGAUCGAAGCCCCGGUAAACGGCGGCCGUAACUAUAACGGUCCUAAGGUAGCGAAAUUCCUUGUCGGGUAAGUUCCGACCUGCACGAAUGGCGUAAUGAUGGCCAGGCUGUCUCCACCCGAGACUCAGUGAAAUUGAACUCGCUGUGAAGAUGCAGUGUACCCGCGGCAAGACGGAAAGACCCCGUGAACCUUUACUAUAGCUUGACACUGAACAUUGAGCCUUGAUGUGUAGGAUAGGUGGGAGGCUUUGAAGUGUGGACGCCAGUCUGCAUGGAGCCGACCUUGAAAUACCACCCUUUAAUGUUUGAUGUUCUAACGUGGACCCGUAAUCCGGGUUGCGGACAGUGUCUGGUGGGUAGUUUGACUGGGGCGGUCUCCUCCUAAAGAGUAACGGAGGAGCACGAAGGUUGGCUAAUCCUGGUCGGACAUCAGGAGGUUAGUGCAAUGGCAUAAGCCAGCUUGACUGCGAGCGUGACGGCGCGAGCAGGUGCGAAAGCAGGUCAUAGUGAUCCGGUGGUUCUGAAUGGAAGGGCCAUCGCUCAACGGAUAAAAGGUACUCCGGGGAUAACAGGCUGAUACCGCCCAAGAGUUCAUAUCGACGGCGGUGUUUGGCACCUCGAUGUCGGCUCAUCACAUCCUGGGGCUGAAGUAGGUCCCAAGGGUAUGGCUGUUCGCCAUUUAAAGUGGUACGCGAGCUGGGUUUAGAACGUCGUGAGACAGUUCGGUCCCUAUCUGCCGUGGGCGCUGGAGAACUGAGGGGGGCUGCUCCUAGUACGAGAGGACCGGAGUGGACGCAUCACUGGUGUUCGGGUUGUCAUGCCAAUGGCACUGCCCGGUAGCUAAAUGCGGAAGAGAUAAGUGCUGAAAGCAUCUAAGCACGAAACUUGCCCCGAGAUGAGUUCUCCCUGAGACUU